Molecule: ribosomal RNA, 440 nt
Filed under: uncultured Paracoccaceae bacterium
Lineage: Bacteria; Pseudomonadati; Pseudomonadota; Alphaproteobacteria; Rhodobacterales; Paracoccaceae
Description: bacterial SSU rRNA
Rfam family: Bacterial small subunit ribosomal RNA
Source: RNAcentral
CCUACGGGAGGCAGCAGUGGGGAAUCUUAGACAAUGGGGGAAACCCUGAUCUAGCCAUGCCGCGUGAGUGACGAAGGCCCUAGGGUCGUAAAGCUCUUUCGCCAGGGAAGAUAAUGACGGUACCUGGUAAAGAAACCCCGGCUAACUCCGUGCCAGCAGCCGCGGUAAUACGGAGGGGGUUAGCGUUGUUCGGAAUUACUGGGCGUAAAGCGCACGUAGGCGGACUAUUAAGUCAGGGGUGAAAUCCCGGGGCUCAACCCCGGAACUGCCCUUGAUACUGGUAGUCUUGAGUUCGAGAGAGGUGAGUGGAAUUCCGAGUGUAGAGGUGAAAUUCGUAGAUAUUCGGAGGAACACCAGUGGCGAAGGCGGCUCACUGGCUCGAUACUGACGCUGAGGUGCGAAAGCGUGGGGAGCAAACAGGAUUAGAUACCCCAGUAGUC